RNAcentral lists this long non-coding RNA (324 nucleotides) under Capsicum annuum. RNAcentral describes it as "long non-coding RNA (CANN_LNC005932)". Lineage: Eukaryota; Viridiplantae; Streptophyta; Magnoliopsida; Solanales; Solanaceae. The record is from RNAcentral.
CCCACGUUGCUCUAAUCUUAGCCCUCCAUUAGUCACGUCAAUCUGUCAGAAACUGUUCCAAUGAUGAUAUGGUUUCCACGUGCGGCUCUGUAACGUUAUCUUUCAUUUCAGUUCAAAUCAAUUCCUCCUUCCAUUUCGUUUUUUCAAUACUAUCCUCAAUAUUAAAUAACUAAACAAAACAUAUUUACUCAAAUUUAUAUUUCAAAACAUAAUUAAUAAGUCUAUUUGAUAAAAUAAAGCUCUAAUAAAUGAUUUCUUAAAAAAAGUAUGUCAACAUUCAAAGACGAAGAACAAAUCGACGAAAAACAAUGAAAAAUGACACAG